Small nucleolar RNA from Cavia aperea (Brazilian guinea pig), 140 nucleotides. The record is from Ensembl. Lineage: Eukaryota; Metazoa; Chordata; Mammalia; Rodentia; Caviidae.
CUGGCCCUGAAUCAAGGCCAGCAACAGCUUCCUGAUGCUGUUGGUUUCAAGUAAGUGCCGAAAAAGAUGUCUUUCUAUGAUCUGCUGGCCAUUUCAGAACUUGGGCACUGAAAUGGUCAAUGCAUUAGAAAGAAACAGCU